AUUGCCCCCAGUAACGGCGAGUGAAGCGGCAACAGCUCAAAUUUGAAAUCUGGCCCCCGGGUCCGAGUUGUAAUUUGUAGAGGAUGCUUUUGGCAAGGUGCCUUCCGAGUUCCCUGGAACGGGACGCCAUAGAGGGUGAGAGCCCCGUCUGGUCGGACGCCGCGCCUCUGUAAAGCUCCUUCGACGAGUCGAGUAGUUUGGGAAUGCUGCUCUAAAUGGGAGGUAUAUGUCUUCUAAAGCUAAAUACCGGCCAGAGACCGAUAGCGCACAAGUAGAGUGAUCGAAAGAUGAAAAGCACUUUGAAAAGAGAGUUAAAAAGUACGUGAAAUUGUUGAAAGGGAAGCGAUUGUGACCAGACUUGGGCCUGUUUGAUCAGCUUGGGUUCUCCCGGGUGCACUCUUUCAGGCCUGGGCCAGCAUCAGUUCGUGGCGGGGGACAAAUGACUCGGGAAUGUGGCUCCCCCCGGGGAGUGUUAUAGACCGUAUCGGAAUACCCUGCUGUGGACUGAGGGCCGCGCACUUCGGUGCAAGGAUGCUGGCGUAAUGGUCACCAUCGACCCGUCUUGAAACACGGACCAAGGAGUCGUCUUCGUAUGCGAGUGUUCGGGUGUCAAACCCCUACGCGGAAUGAAAGUGAACGCAGGUGAGAGCUUCGGCGCAUCAUCGACCGAUCCUGAUGUUCUCGGAUGGAUUUGAGUAAGAGCAUACGGGGCCGGACCCGAAAGAAGGUGAACUAUGCCUGUAUAGGGUGAAGUCAGAGGAAACUCUGAUGGAGGCUCGCAGCGGUUCUGACGUGCAAAUCGAUCGUCAAAUAUGGGCAUGGGGGGCGAAAGACUAAUCGAACCUUCUAGUAGCUGGUUUCCGCCCGAA
Molecule: ribosomal RNA, 869 nt
Filed under: [Cylindrocarpon] olidum var. crassum
Lineage: Eukaryota; Fungi; Ascomycota; Sordariomycetes; Hypocreales; Nectriaceae
Description: LSU rRNA
Rfam family: Eukaryotic large subunit ribosomal RNA
Source: RNAcentral